Molecule: ribosomal RNA, 468 nt
Filed under: uncultured bacterium
Lineage: Bacteria
Description: partial 16S ribosomal RNA
Rfam family: Bacterial small subunit ribosomal RNA
Source: RNAcentral
GACGAACGCUGGCGGCGUGCUUAACACAUGCAAGUCGAACGGAAAGGCCCUGCUUUUGUGGGGUGCUCGAGUGGCGAACGGGUGAGUAACACGUGAGUAACCUGCCCUUGACUUUGGGAUAACUUCAGGAAACUGGGGCUAAUACCGGAUAGGAGCUCCUGCUGCAUGGUGGGGGUUGGAAAGUUUCGGCGGUUGGGGAUGGACUUGCGGCUUAUCAGCUUGUUGGUGGGGUAGUGGCUUACCAAGGCUUUGACGGGUAGCCGGCCUGAGAGGGUGACCGGCCACAUUGGGACUGAGAUACGGCCCAGACUCCUACGGGAGGCAGCAGUGGUGAAUAUUGCACAAUGGGCGGAAGCCUGAUGCAGCAACGCCGCGUGCGGGAUGACGGCCUUCGGGUUGUAAACCGCUUUCGCCUGUGACGAAGCGUGAGUGACGGUAAUGGGUAAAGAAGCACCGGCUAACUACGUG